Long non-coding RNA from Mustela erminea (ermine), 2397 nucleotides. RefSeq lists it as uncharacterized. The record is from RefSeq and is a predicted model, not a curated record. The transcript is spliced from 3 exons. NCBI's taxonomy places the organism in Eukaryota, Metazoa, Chordata, Mammalia, Carnivora, Mustelidae.
AAAACAGAAGCGGAAGGGAAGGGCGCUGCACACUAUUGACUCUGGCAGGAGUCAAGCUGGCUGUGCCAGGCGCUCAGAUCCCGAGUAUGACUCCCAUCGUGCAGAUGCGGAAACAGAGGCCCCGAGAGACGAAAUAACUUGCCCUCCAGCCCCAUGCUGGUACGUAACUGGGAUUUGAACCCAGGUCUCAUGCACUGCUGAUUCUGCAUCUGAUUCCUGCAAUAAGGAAUGCGCAAAGCAGACGUGAUCAGUGGGGAAGUGUGGGCAGAGACACCCACCUGCUACCAAGAAGAAAGCACCUCAGUCAUGUAAGGUCUCGCGGAACAGUUCAGGAAAUCCCAAGGGCCAGAGAAGGAGAAAAUAAAACCAAGGAAAAUAAAGCUUCUAGCACCUACAGCUACAGCAAACCUUAGAACCCAGCUUCUAGUUGGGUUAAUAUAAAGCUUCACACUGACAGCUGCAUUACCUCAGUUCCUAUUACCUGAUCUACCAUGUCUGGCUUUAAACAAAAAAUUCUGAGAUCUGCCAAAAGACAAGAAAAAAAAAAUGUGUCUGUAGAGACAAAGCAAGCAUCACAAGUAGACACAGCUAUGACACAAUGUUGGAAUCAUGCAAUGGAGAAUUAAAAAUAAUGAUGAUUAACAUGUUAAGGGCUCUAAUGGAGAAAGUAAACAACAUUCUAGAACAGAUGGGUAACAUAAGGAGAGAGAGGGAAAAUCUAAGAAAGAAUUAAAAAAAGUUGGAAAUAAAAAACACCAAAACAGAAAUAAAGAAUGCCCCUGGUGGACUCAUCUGUAGACCAGACAGAGCCGAGGAAAGAAUCAGUGAGCCUGAAGACAUGUCAAUAGAAAUGUCACAAACUAAAAUGCAAAGAAAAUGAAUGAAGAAAAGGAGAAUGUCCAGGAACAGUGUCUUUGAUGACAGAGAAGAAAUGGAUAUGUUUCUUGAAACAUACAGCCUCCCAGGACUAAAUCAUUAUGAAACAGAAUUUCUGAGCAGACUGAGUACUAGUAAGGAGAUUGAAUCAGACAUCAAAAUCCUCCCAAGCAACAAAACUCUAGGGCCACAUGGCUUCACUGGUGAAUUCUACCAAAUAUGUAAAGAAUUCAUGCCAAUAACUGCUUUAAAUGUGAAUGGUUUAAAUAGGCCAAUUAAAAGACAGGGAUUGUUAGAAUACAUAAAAAACAAAAUCCAAUUCUAUGUUGUUUAUAAGAAACCCUCUUUGAACAUAAAGACAUAAAUAAAAAGUGAAGGGAAAGAGAAAGAUAUGUCACUAACCAAAGAAAGUAGGAGUAGGUAAAUUAAUUUCAGAUGAAGCAGGCUGCAGAACAGAGAAAAUUAUCAGGGAUAAAGGUGGGCAUUACAUGAUGAUAAAGGGGUCAAUUCUCCAAGAAGUCAUAAUGAUCCUUAGAAUGUAUGUAGCUAAAAACAGAGUGUCAAAAUAUGUGAGGUAAAACAGAUAGAAUUGCAAGGGAAAAUAGACAAAUCUACUAUUAAGUUGGAGAUUUUAACACCCCUCUCUCAGUAAUUGACAGAUUCAGCAGGCAGAAAAUUGGUAAGGAUAUAGUUGGAUUGAACAGUACCAUCAAUCAACUGGAUCUAAUUGACGUGUAAAAAAUACUUCAUCUUACAAGAGCAGAAUACACAUUCUUUUCAGUUCUCAUGGAGCAUUCACAAAAAUAGACUACAUUCUGGGCCAUUAAACACCUUGACAAAUACAAAAGAACAGAAAUCAUGCAAAGCAUGCUCUCAGACCACAGUGGUAUUAAACCAAAAAUUUGUAACAGAAAGAUAGCUGGAAAGUCCCCAAAUAUUUGGAGAUAAAAUAGUACAUGUCCAAACAACAUAUGGGUCCAAAAGGAAGUAUCAAGAGAAAUUUUAAAAUAUUUUAAACUCAAUGAAAAUAGAACUGACUGAAUUCUAUAGGGUGCAGUGAAAGCUGUGUUUAGAGGGAAAUUUAUAGCAUUGAAUGCACAUAUCAGAGAAAAUAAAAGAUCUAGAAUGCACCUAUUAGAGAAGAUAAAAGAUCUAGAAUCAAUCAUCUAAGCUUCCACCUUGGGAAACUAGAAAAAGAAGAGCUAAUUAAACCCAAAGUAAGCAUAUGAGAAGGAAUAAUAAAAAUAAGAGCACAAAUCAAUGAAAUUAAAAGAGGAAAUUAAUAGAAAAAGUCAAUGAAACAAAAUUUAGUCUGUGAAGACAUCAAUGAAAUUGGUAAACCUUAGCCAGGCGAGAGGAAAAAAGGAGCAGAUUACUAGACUACUAAUUGGUAAUUAAUAAUUACUAAUAUCAGAAAUGAAAGAAGGGUAAUCACUACUGAUCCAAUGGACAUUAAAAAGGAUAAUAAAGGGGGGGCACCCAGGGGGAUCAGCCAGUUAAGUAUCCAACUCUUGCUUUCAG